CCUACGGGAGGCAGCAGUGAGGAAUAUUGGUCAAUGGGCGCGAGCCUGAACCAGCCAAGUCGCGUGAGGGAUGACGGUCCUACGGAUUGUAAACCUCUUUUACCGGGGAGCAAGCGUGCGUUCGUGAACGCUCGUCGAGAGUACCCGUAGAAAAAGCAUCGGCUAACUCCGUGCCAGCAGCCGCGUUAAUACGGAGGAUGCGAGGUUUAUCCGGAUUUAUUGGGUUGAAAGGGUGCGUAGGCGGGAGGCCAAGUCAGCGGGAAAAAUGCGGUGCUCAACGCAGUCGAGCCGUUGAUACUGGCGUUCUUGAGUGGGCGAGAGGUAUGCGGAAUUCGUGGUGUAGCGGUGAAAUGCAUAGAUAUCACGCAGAACCCCGAUUGCGAAGGCAGCAUACCGACGCCCGACUGACGCUGAGGCACGAAAGCGUGGGUAUCGAACAGGAUUAGAUACCCGUGUAGUC
This 460-nucleotide ribosomal RNA is filed under the name uncultured bacterium. RNAcentral describes it as "partial 16S ribosomal RNA". It matches the Rfam family "Bacterial small subunit ribosomal RNA", at positions 338 to 795 of the family's 1533-position model. The record is from RNAcentral.